RNAcentral lists this transfer RNA (88 nucleotides) under Minisyncoccota bacterium. Its description in RNAcentral is "tRNA-Ser". It matches the Rfam family "tRNA". From Rfam's summary of the family: Transfer RNA (tRNA) molecules are approximately 80 nucleotides in length. Their secondary structure includes four short double-helical elements and three loops (D, anti-codon, and T loops). Further hydrogen bonds mediate the characteristic L-shaped molecular structure. tRNAs have two regions of fundamental functional importance: the anti-codon, which is responsible for specific mRNA codon recognition, and the 3' end, to which the tRNAs corresponding amino acid is attached (by aminoacyl-tRNA synthetases). tRNAs cope with the degeneracy of the genetic code in two manners: having more than one tRNA (with a specific anti-codon) for a particular amino acid; and 'wobble' base-pairing, i.e. permitting non-standard base-pairing at the 3rd anti-codon position. The record is from RNAcentral. RNAcentral also lists the same sequence under 1 other name. Lineage: Bacteria; Bacillati; Minisyncoccota.
GGAGAGGUGGCUGAGUGGUUGAAAGCAGCAACCUGCUAAGUUGUUGACCCUCAAAAGGGGUCCGAGGGUUCGAAUCCCUCCCUCUCCG